This 206-nucleotide long non-coding RNA is filed under the name Elaeis guineensis (African oil palm). RNAcentral's name for it is "long non-coding RNA (EGUI_LNC016383)". Lineage: Eukaryota; Viridiplantae; Streptophyta; Magnoliopsida; Arecales; Arecaceae. The record is from RNAcentral.
AACUCCGUUGUUGUGAUGAAGUCCUUAGGACUAUUUAGGUUCGAUAAAGAGAGGAUUUAUCGAUUAGUCCUUAAAACUAUUCAUGAUCAAAUGAUAGGCUGUUAAUAAGAACGAUAGCUUCUAUCGAGCAUAGGUUGCUGUAGGCUAUAUGGGUUGGUUGUCCUCUUAAUCAAGGAGUGUGGAGACACUGAUAUGGCAUACCGGUG